AAGACUAUACUUUCAGGGAUCAUUUCUAUAGUUUGUUACCAGAAGUUAUUAUCUACAGCUAUAUGCCAAUAAGUUAAGUAAC
RNAcentral lists this small nucleolar RNA (82 nucleotides) under Mustela putorius furo (domestic ferret). RNAcentral describes it as "Small nucleolar RNA U3". It matches the Rfam family "Small nucleolar RNA U3", at positions 1 to 77 of the family's 219-position model. From Rfam's summary of the family: Small nucleolar RNAs (snoRNAs) are involved in the processing and modification of rRNA in the nucleolus. Lineage: Eukaryota; Metazoa; Chordata; Mammalia; Carnivora; Mustelidae. The record is from Rfam by way of RNAcentral.